Molecule: ribosomal RNA, 254 nt
Filed under: uncultured bacterium
Lineage: Bacteria
Description: partial 16S ribosomal RNA
Rfam family: Bacterial small subunit ribosomal RNA
Source: RNAcentral
UACGUAGGGGGCAAGCGUUGUCCGGAUUUAUUGGGCGUAAAGAGCUCGUAGGCGGUUUGGUAAGUCAGGUGUGAAAUCUCCACGCUCAACGUGGAGGGGCCACCUGAUACUGCCAUGACUGGAGUCCGGUAGAGGAGUGUGGAAUUCCCGGUGUAGCGGUGAAAUGCGCAGAUAUCAGGAGGAACACCGGUGGCGAAGGCGGGUCUCUGGGCCGAAAUUGACGCUGAGGAGCGAAAGCGUGGGGAGCAAACAGG